This 503-nucleotide ribosomal RNA is filed under the name uncultured bacterium. RNAcentral describes it as "partial 16S ribosomal RNA". It matches the Rfam family "Bacterial small subunit ribosomal RNA", at positions 28 to 523 of the family's 1533-position model. The record is from RNAcentral.
GAUGAACGCUAGCGGCAGGCCUAACACAUGCAAGUCGAGGGGUAGCAGGAUUAAGCUUGCUUAAUUGCUGACGACCGGCGCACGGGUGCGUAACGCGUAUGCAACCUACCUUAUACUGGGGUAUAGCCCGGAGAAAUUCGGAUUAAUCCCCCAUAGCACUAAUGAAUCGCAUGGUUUAUUAGUUAAAGCAUUGCGGUAUAAGAUGGGCAUGCGUCCUAUUAGCUAGGUGGUGAGGUAACGGCUCACCAUGGUUACGAUAGGUAGGGGGCCUGAGAGGGUGGUCCCCCACACUGGUACUGAGACACGGACCAGACUCCUACGGGAGGCAGCAGUGAGGAAUAUUGGUCAAUGGGCGCAAGCCUGAACCAGCCAUGCCGCGUGCAGGAAGAAUGCCCUAUGGGUUGUAAACUGCUUUUAUUUGGGAAUAAACCUCUUUACGUGUAGAGAGCUGAAGGUACCAAAUGAAUAAGCACCGGCUAACUCCGUGCCAGCCGCCGCAGUAA